This 305-nucleotide ribosomal RNA is filed under the name uncultured bacterium. Its description in RNAcentral is "bacterial SSU rRNA". It matches the Rfam family "Bacterial small subunit ribosomal RNA", at positions 335 to 638 of the family's 1533-position model. The record is from RNAcentral.
AUCCUACGGGGGGCAGCAGUGAGGAAUGGUGGUCACUGAACAAGAGCCUGAACCAGCCAAGUCGCGUGAGGGAUGACGGCCCUACGGGUUGUAAACCUCUUUUGUCGGGGAGCAAAUUCCGCCACGCGUGGCGGAGUCGAGAGUACCCGAAGAAAAAGCAUCGGCUAACUCCGUGCCAGCAGCCGCGGUAAUACGGAGGAUGCGAGCGUUAUCCGGAUUUAUUGGGUUUAAAGGGUGCGUAGGCGGACUGUCAAGUCAGCGGUAAAAUACGGGGGCUCAACCUCCGCCCGCCGUUGAAACUGACG